CUCCUCAGUUCUUCAUAUUUCUCUCAAAUUACCUUUCAACAAUAUGUUCAUAUCUCAGCCAAUAAAGCGAUGGUUGAUCCACAUGCAAAUAAAAAGGUAAGGAAAAAAAUUUAAAUGGGUUUUAAAAAUUCAGACUGCCAAAAAUAGAUGAAAUAGCUCAGAAGAGACAUAAUACUUAUGAAAACUGAGAAAGUGAUCUUUUUAUUUUCAACCAAGAUAAUUCAAUUCAUAAAUUGUUGCUGUAUUAGCAACUUGGAACUUGAAAUUGGCACCAGGAAAAUUAAAAGGAAAAAAAAUCAGGUAUACUUCUAUCCUUGAAAUGUCAUUUAUAUUUCUUUCUGCAAGUUGAUGCGGACAUUGCUGAAUAUUUUCCCAACAGCUUCAAAGAGUGGGUCACAGACGGUGUGGACGUAGAUGGAAUAGACACGGCUGAUGCACUGAAUCUCAAUCAGGAAGCUCUUAAUGCAUGGUACAACUGCCCAGAUGUGCAGGAAAGAGAGAAUGGCGAAGUAAAUGCCCCAGAUGAGUGCCAUCGGGAUGCCAAAGAGGGCAGACAGCAAGCGGUAAAACCAGUAUUUCGUCACAGUGAAGGUGGUGAAGCUGGCCUUCCAAAUGCCGUCAAAACUGUGUGUCCCUUCUGGUUCUGCAAUCACAUCUUCAAAGUCAAUCUAAAAGGAAGAAGUGACACAACAUGAGCACAGAAUAGAAGAAAAGAGAAAAAAAACCCACUAUUCAGUAUCCAUAGACAUAUACUGUAUUAGCAUUUAUGAGUUCGUUCUUUGUGAGAUGCUUAAAGGCAACCAGCAGCAUCAGCAUCACUUGGAACUUGGGAACACAGAUUUUUUUCAUUUUUAUUUUUUUGAGACAGGGUCUUGCUCUGUCACCCAGGCUGGAGUGCAGUGGCAUGAUCAUGGCUCACUGCAGCUUCGACUUCCCAGGCUCAAGCAAUCUGUCUGCCUCAGCCUCUUAAGUAGCUGGGACCACAGGUUCAUGCCACCACACUUGGCUAAUCCUUUUUUUUUUUUUUUUUAAGAGAUGGAGUCUCACGAUAUUGCCCAGGCUGGUCUUGAACGCCUGAGAUCAAGGAAUCCACCCACCUUGGCCUUCUGAGGAGUUGGUAUAAUAGGAUGAGCCAAUAAGCUGACCUGAAACACAGAUAUUUGGGUUCCCCUUGGACCUUAUUAUCUCUCAAGGGUGGAACCCAGGAUAUUUUUAAACAUGUUCUCUAGGUGUUUCUCUACCACACAAAAGGUUGAGAACUACAGCUCUAGAGAAAACCAAAUGGAUGUGAUUAAAUUUCUUGACUUAAAGUAAAACCCCCAAACAUGGAUAAGGAUACGAGGCACUCAGUACAAUGUAAGGAACAUGACAUAAUUUAACUGCCUUUGAAGACAACUACACAUGCAAUGUUAAGGGGCAGUUAGUUGAUAAUCGGUUAACAAUUCUUCAAAUGCCCAAUUAGCAUAAUUACUUCAGGAAAUUAGAUCAUGGUGUGCUGGGAGGCAUCAAGAAGGCUUCAUGAGGUGGGAGAUUUGAGCAGGGCUUGGGCAAUUGGCUGAUUUGGAGAGGAAGAACAAUGGGACGUUGGAAAUGUGUCAAAGCCCCAGGAACAAGCAAGGGUGUCAUAGUAAGUGUCUCAGGCAGAAUAGACCUGUGUCACCGAGGCUGGAAAGACAGGUUGAGGCCAGACUGAAUAUUAUUUUACAGACAGUGGGGUCUAUGGAAGAUGUGGGAGCAGGGGAGUGUAGCCACAAUCGAUGCAGUAGUUUAUCAAGAUGAGUUUGACAACCGUAUGCACACUGGGAGAAGGAGGAAAGAGACUCAAGGCAGGGAGACUGUUGCUGUCACUCAAGUUUGAAGGGCCAGGACUGGAAAGGUGGUCAUAAAAAAAAGAAAAGAAAAGAAGGUUCCAGAGAUGCUAAGGGAAGAAUCCACAGGACUUGGUUAGCUCAAGGGUGGGGAUGAAAGGAGCUGGAAUGCAAAUUUGGCCCCUUUCCCAAUAGCUCUCCCAGGUACAUGUUCACCCAAACAAUUAAUUACAGGAAGUUUUAUCCCUCUGUAAAGAUUUAUAUAAACUACACUGAAGCACAGGAUUAAAAACAGAAUUACCAACAGAAAGGUAGGACAGAGCCAGUGCAACUGCUUGGCAGUGACAGCUAUAGGAGGGGAUUUAAUGCAGUUUGAAAUCCCAACAAGUGGAUGACUGACAGCAGCGACUCAGGCAGGCUCAGGAUUAGGGAAUGAGGACUGCCAUGACUCCACGGAGCUACUCAGUGCCAAAGAGCCACCUUUGAUUCAACAAAAUAAAAUGUCUUCUGGAAAAAGCACAUGAUGCUUACCAAUUUUUAAAGUUUAUUUUGUAGAACAUUCUGUUUCUUGACUUAUUGUCCAAUGUUCUAAUAAUGUAAUGUGAAAAAAACGGCAUGGCCACAAUUAUGUAAGUGAGCUUAAGUAGAUGUAUUGUCACUCAUUUUUCUUCACCCAUUUGGAUCUAGACACAGGGUAAACAUUUAGUUGUGUGUUUUAAAAGGUGGCAAAUACAUGGCAAAUCAGGUCAAUACUUUUAUGAAGUUUCUGUGCAAAUUAUUUGUCUAUUAUGGGUUUGUGUUCUGACACUGCAUUCUUCCCAAAACUAUCAAAAAUAAGGGGCUCUGGUUUUCCUGCAUUCAACUGCAAGACACCUAAAGAAUUUUAUUUUUUAAAGAUGUCUUUGUUUUGUAAGAGGAUUUGAAGGCAGAAUUAAAAUACUACAGCAGGUGUUCUUAAUCUGGGGUCAAAAGAUGGGCAAUGGUCAUCCAUGACUGCCCUGAAAUGGACACACAUUUUGAGUGUAUAAUGGGAAAUGAUCCAUCACCUUUAUUAAAAAAUAGUCUAUUACCAAAGAAGGUUAGGAAGCAAUUUACCGGGAGCAGAGGAUUCCUACCUCUUUACAGAGCAGACCCGAAGCAGGUCUGCCUUGAGAUUCUUUUCCUAGGAGGGGAAGAGUUGUGAACAUUUGUUGACUAGUUGUGAUCAGACACUGUUCUCAUUUAACUGACAACAACUCUAUAAUAUAGUAUUCUCACUUUAUAGAAAAAAUGUGAGGUUCAGAAAUGCUAAUGAGUUGUCCAGGUAAAAGAGAGGUAGAUUUGAGGCUUAAAUCUGGUCUGAAAGUUAUCAACUUUCUUCAAUAUUGUACCACUUUACAAAAAUGGUUUUCAAAUUUUAUCUAAGGUGAGUAUGCUAUUUCAUAAUUAAAAGGCACGUUAAUAAAAAAGAGUUUGCCAAAUUUAACCCUCUGGUAACUGCAACAAUUCUCCCGGCAUGUUCUUUGAGGACAGUGUUACACCAUAUACACAAUUGGUCCUUAGUGAAGAUAUUUAAAAACAUGAGUGUGUAAGAUUUCUUAAUAAUAAUUCUAUUUUUCUAAGCAUAAAUUCAAAUUAUUUUUCAAUGAAUACAUAGGAGAUUCUUACACUUUCUUUUAAGUUGCUUACUAAAUUUCUGGAUGCCUGCAUUUUCAGUGAAACUGCAUUUUCAGAAACUGCUAGUGAGCAUGAUUUAUCCUCAAACGUCCAAGUGAAUUUAGAGCAGGUCUCCAGGGGUGGAAAGCAACAUGACAAAAAUAACAUGUUAUAUAAAUAUAUUCAGUUAGUUAUUGCUGCUUUAGUCUUUGAAAUUUAAGGCAGUUUUAAAGAAAACUAAAAGUACAGCCAAUUAGGUGCAACUGAAAAAGGAAGCAAGGCAGGUUAAAGAAACAAUAGAGGCAGAAAUAAAGCUUAGUUUCUUUCUACCUCCAUUUACACAGCAGUAAUUAGUUUUAGAGGAGUACAUGAGAUAAUUUAUUUAAAUUACUUAGCUUGGGUGCAGAGCAUAGCAAUAUGAUUAGUAAAUGCCCAAAAAAUAGUAGCAUUUAAAAAAUCUCUUGCUUUUGGUGACUAGGUCUUUCUCUCUCUCUCUCUCUCUUCCUUCCUUCCUUCCUUUUUCUUUCUCUCCUCUCCCUCCCUCCCUCCCUUCUUUCUUUCUUUCUCUUUCUUUCUUUCUUUCUUUCUUUCUUUCUUUCUUUCUUUCUUUCUUUCUUUCUUUCUUUCUCUCUCUCUCUCUCUCUCUCUCUCUUUCUUUCUUUCUUUCUUUCUUUCUUUCUUUCUUUUCUUUCCUCCUUCCUUCCUUCCUUCCUUCCUUCCUUUCUUUUUUUGGAGACAGGUUCUUGCUCUGUCAUCCAGGCUAGAGUGCAGCGGCAUGAUCACUGCCCACUGCAGCCUUGACCUCCUGGGCUCAAGCAAUCCUCCAACUUCAGCCCUCAGAAUAGCUGGGACUACAGCCAUGCAUCACUGGCUAAUUUUUUGCUUUUUGUAGAGAUGAGAGGGUCUCACUAUGUUGCCUAGGCUGAUGUUGAACGCCUGAGCUCAAGCAGUUCUCCUGCCUUGGCCUCCCAAAGUGUUGGGAUUACAGACGUGAGCUACUGCACCGGGCUGUGACUAGGUUUUUAAAUAGACAAUUGUAAUAAGAGGAACUAACAGCUGCAAAGCACAUAAGGGCUGGGAAUUUAAACCCCACCAGUGGCUCAAAAGAGCUAAUUUCUAUUUGUAAUAAUCUUCACCACAAACCACUGAAGUGCAUGUCAUUAUUCCCAUUUUACAGAUGAGAAUACUGCCGGGGGUUAAGAAAUUAUCCAAGGUCACAGAGAUGCUAAGUGACAAAACUAGAACUUGUCAUAUUUCAAGUCUGCGCAUUUUUGCCUUUGUAUUCCUGAGAUCACAAGCCUUUACAAUUGUCUUAUUUGCUUAGUUUUCACCCAGAUAGAUAUGCUUCCUAAAAUAUUCCCAGUUUGAUGAUUCAAAGAAUUACUCUUGUUAAUGUUUCCACUUUAAGUUAGGACACCUAGUAUCUAGGAUGUUUUGCAUCCUAGGUACUGGUACUAGUACAUUAUUGGUACUGAUUGCAUUUUUAUGGCUCUGAAUGGUAUGUUCUCACAAUCCUGGGCACCCAGCCAGGGACUCUUACUCUAAUUGACAGAUAUGGAAACUGUGGCCCAGAAUGAUUAAAAUGAGACAGAUAUUCUCAAGAUCCCAAGUGAAUCAAUGGAAAAGCUGCAAUUAGAACUCUAAUUUCCUGAUUCCCAGGUCUAUGUCCAGCCUUGUGCUUCAUACUUUUUCCCUAGGAAGUUACAUCAUUCUCCUCACAUACCUUCUCUGCCUACUCCAUUCAUAUCUCUAGGUCUCCUUUAAAUCUCUCAUUGCUUUCUAAGGCAUUGACUUGAAAGGUAUCUCUGUGUGAGUUUAUGAGAAAUGUCCUUUCCACGGUGUGAACACGGACAUUUUUGUACAUCUAUCUAUGGUGAAAAAAACAGGAAGGAAUAUUUUUUACAAAUCCAAGUAUAUUUUGACAUGUAUUCAGAAUGCACUGAAUCCAACAAAGCUCGGCUAAAUAAUUGGUCUUUGUAUUUAAGGGAGUUCAGAGAUCCACAUCAAUCAAAGCACAGCUGCUUCAGCAGAUUCAUAGAUAUUUAAAGCUAAAGGGAUUCUUAAAGCAAUAGAGUCACAUAUGAGAUAGAGAAAUUGAUGACCAAAGCUGUCAGAUGACUGGACCAAGUAUAUCUUCCCAUUUUAUGGCAGCACAGGAUUGCAAUUCAGGCUUAGGAACUCUCCUGGGCUCUUCCACUACUGCUUGCUGUCAUCACACAUCCUUGAUCAGUCUAGCUGCUACAUUCUGGAUACCUGCACCUGAAAUUAAACAUCCUCAGGCUAUCAAGAGGUCCCACAGGCCUAUUGUUGAGUGGAUGAUGAUGCCUCUUUCUCACAAUCUCUAAUGGGCUCAUUGUUCAUGUUUAGCAUCAGUUUGAUUUAUCUCUCAUUGAAACGAUCACUCCCCAGUCCCGUUUCCUAGGGGACUGACUGCACUUGCCCUUCUACAAGGGCUGGUCUUGCUUGGAGCAGCACUUUAUGUGCUCACUUAGAAUAUGAGCAGAACAAGAAUUAAAAAUGGGCUUAAAAACUCAAUGCCCAAGAGGUGUAGGUGCCAUUAGUUUCUUAGAGUGGGAUGCCUCAGAUGAGGUUGAGCUAUUCCUCCCACAACCAACUUUCUGUUCUGUAAUUUAUGGAACAACUUGGCCUUCUGGAGGGAAGUAUUAUGCAGACCUAAAGAAGAAAGGCAUAAAUGCACUUCAGUGAUAUUUUUGUGUGUCAACAGAUGCUUUAUAAGGAGUUAACAGUUUACAUUACUAGAUUUUUAUAAAUGACAUGAAAUACCUUUGUGCAGCAUUGGCUUAUGAUACUACAAUUUCAGAAACAUGAGUUAACACAAAUCAAGCAGCAGACGUCAAGAAAAGCAAUCUGUCCUGUUUGUUUUGAUAAUACUUGGCUGAUGUAGUAAAUCUCAGAAGAUUUCAUUCUGUUCAAUGUAUCUGAAGGCAAUAUUUGAAAAACAGUUUACAUGUGCACAGGAUUUUUAAAAUAUAGAAUCUUUUCUGGGUUUCAAAAUCUGGACAUUUUAUUUUGAAUAAGGAAUUUUCAAGAAGGAAACCUUAAGUACAUUUGGGAUUUCAUAAGUAAUGAUCUUACACAUUCUGUUUCUAUUGGAAAAUAUCUUUUUAGACUGUUAUUGGAAAUUGUGAUUCUACUGGAUAUAUAGAACACAUAAAAAACAACACAUAAGAAGUUUACAGAAGACUUGUUUGUUGCCUGCUCAAAAUUUACAGUCCCACUUCUCUGCCAACAGGAUCCUGAUGGAUUCGGGUAAUGGUAAUAAUCCUUUGAUUUCAGAGAUGAGUCACAGUUGGUUUAGACUUGCCAUGAUAAUGUUAGUCUUCUUGGUGAGUGAUUGGUUUAAGGCAGGCAUGUGACUCAGUUCUGGCCAAUGAGAUCUAAGUGAAAUCUGCUAGAGGGGACUUCCAGGGAAGCUUUGUCUUCCUUAUGAAAAGAGACAGAGGCAUAUGGCAUGACUCUUUGCCCUUUUCAUCUUGCUUAGAAUAUGAGGUGUUGCCUAUGUUGUGAUUGUGAGGUGACAUGCAUGAUUAGAAGGCCAAGGAAAUAGAAGAGAUGCUGCUUUUGCCAUUAUCAAGCUACUGAAGCAAUGCCAGCAGCUGCCCACCCCUAGACUUUUGCUUAUGUGACUUAGAUAUACCUUUAUUUUAAAGCCACAGCUGUUUAGGUUUUUAGUUACCUGUAGCAGAAAGCAUUCUUAAAACACUCUUUCCUGUUGGCUUGCAUAGUAGUUGUACAUAUCUCCUCUUUUAGAAACAUGAGCUUAAUUUCUGACCUCAACAUAUCUUUUCAACACUACUGGUCUCUAUUACCACAAUACACUACCUAAAUUGUAUCAGAAAAUGUUUGCUUUACAUUGAUACAAGUUUUAGCAAAGCACAAAUGGGAUGGCACAUCGACUAAGACUGAAACAAAUUAAUAUAUUCUUUUCAUCUGGAAAAAUCACACUUAGAUGCGAUAGACAGCAUCUAAGAUGGCUUUCAAUGACCCUGUCUGCUGGUGUUCAUUCCCUUGUGUAAUGCCAUCCCUCUAAUUGUGGGCUGGACUUAGUGAUUUGCUUCUAAAUAAUAAAACAUGGCAAAAGUGAUGGGUUAACACUUCUGAGAUGAGGUUACAAAAGACUGGGACAUUCACCUUGCUUGCCUUUCUUGUUCUCUCACUCGCUUGCUCUACUGGAAACCAGCUGCCAUGUUGUGAGUUGCCCUGUGGAGAGGCCCAUGUGGAAAGGAACUGAGAGAGGGCUCUGGCUAAAACCACUGAGACACGGAGGCCCUCAGUCUGACAGCCUAAGAGGAACUGAAUCCCGCCAUCGGCCAUGUGAGUGAGCUUAGACAUGGAUCUUUCCCCAGCUCAGCCUUGAAAGGAUCCCAGCCUGAGACCUGGAUUGCAGCCCCCGAGAGACCCUGAGCAGAACCAUUAAAUUAAAUCACUUUGAUUCCUAACACACAGAAACUGUGGAGGAUCAAUGUUUGUUGUUCUAAGCGACUCAAUUUUGGGGGUGAUUUGUUAUGCAGCUGGACAAUAUAAUUCCAAAACAAACCACUUCUGAUGAUGAUUUCUUAUUUUCUACUUCCUUGCCCUUUUCUAUUAGACAAUUCAGUUUUCAUGUUUACAGAAAAAUGUAUGCAAUGAAUGUCUAUCAGAUGCCCUGGGAUUUGGUCUUGGGACAAAGUCCAGAAAUAGAUGAGAAGGAAAUAUAGCAUUUACAACUUUCUAGAAUUCAUACCAAACAGAAUAUUAGAAAAAAUUUAGGCUAUAGAUAGUGUUUCGGUUGAAAUAUCAGCUCAUAUACCUGAAUUGGCUUGGAUUUAUACCCAGGUAUGCACCAAGGACCAGCUCCAUCUGGAAAACUGAUCACCAAACUUCAACUCUGGAAUAUAAUGCUCCAUUCAGCACUAGCACAGGGUUCUCAUUUCUCAGGGGUUCUCAGCAAAAGGAUCACCUGGUGAAGGUGCUUGUUAAAAUGCAGAUUCUCCGGCCCCAUUUCAGAAUCAGAUCAGACUCUUUGGGGUGGGGCCUGGGGAUCUGUAUUUUUACCAGGAUUGCCCUUUGUCUCGUGCAAAAGACUAGAGUGUGCCAUGUUCCCUUGGAUUUAAUUACAGCUCCUUUUUGCAUAUGCCAUUCUUUCUCCUCCACUCCUGACAGCCCUAGUUUGUUCCCUGCUCCUUUCUGGGAGCUCCUCAUGUGCUGGAUGGCAUCUGGACACUGGUGGAUAAAUGAGUGGAGCUACUUUUUGAGAGGCUUUUGCUAAUUUAAGCCCAUAAGUAUGUAUUACUGGUUAAGGAUAAAUGAGCAUUAUUUACUAUGAAAACACACAAAUGGACAAUAGAAAUGUUGAUUUAUUGUCAUUAUUCUGAACCCUAUGUAAACGCUUUUUUUAAAAAAAGAUUAAAUACAUACUUGUAAAAUCCUAAUGUACGUGUCAAACCCAGUUAUACAGAGUUUAGACCAAUUUCAAACUCCCUUCUUUGUUCCCACACAUAUUUUUAACACGUUGAGCUUCCUUUGAAGUCAGUGGAAUAAAUGUUGUGUGUGAGUGUGUGGGUGCAGAGGAGGUUGAGAAAUAGCACAAUUAAAUGUUACCAGAACAUAGGAACUUUGCUCUAAUUGCCCAUGUGUUUUCUCAGGGGCAAUCUUUACUGGGCCAAACUGACACCUCUGGGGAAAAGGCUGCAGUGCUCUUGCAGCCCCUGCUGAAAACAGGAGGCCUGGAUUGUACUGUAGAUGCCUGUGUUGACGGGGGUUCCCAGGAAUAUCCACCUAGACCCCUGGGAAAAAUGUAAACCUCUGGUAGGAGUAUUGACUCUUAUUCUUGGGCUUCGACGUUGGUUCCCUUGGGGUGACAGAUACUAAGUAACCUCCCCUGGCGGAAGCAAGGGUUUCCAGGGUUUCAAGAUGGAAGAGGGCAAAAAUGUGGGUAUUUAUCUACCUUUGUGAGCAACUGAAGAGGGUUAGGGUGUGGGGUGAUGGGUGUGGAGGGGACCUGCAGUCACUGACCUGAGCAUCCAGCUUGGAACCUAGAGCCUCUCUCUCUGAAAUGACCUCCCUCUUGUUGCUUCCCAGUCAUUACAGAGGCCUCAGAAUAAUAUUUUACAUUGAUAGUGUUCUAUUUCACUCAUCUGCUUCUCUUCACAAACUUGUGAAGAUCUAAAUCACUUUUAUAUUAAGAAUUGUCUUCUACGUCUUUUGUAAAGUCCUUUAUUUCCCCAUUGAAGGAAGGUCACUUGUAGUGACUAAAUGUAGUCACCUGUAGUGACUAAAAAGUGACUACAUCAAGACCAGGACUUAGGGCAAGGUCUGUGUCUACUACAAACAUCUGGUAUCCUCUAUAAUACCUAGUGGUACUAUGCACAUGUUAAUUAGCAUGUAAAUAUUUCUUCAGUAGGCAUAUUUUAAAGGAACUAUAAAUGCUCAUUGAAAGGAUGUAGCCAUACAUAACAUUUCACCAACCAUAAUAUUAUCUCUUAUUAAUUCUUUGCCUGGUAUUACAAGCACACUUUGAUACAUAUAUAUUUAUUAUUUUUAGCAUCCUCUUUUAUCCCAUUAUUUUAUUUUAAAUGAUUUAAAAUUCAUUUAAGAUAAAAUAAAUAAAAACAAUAAAUAAAUAAAAAUCAUUUUAUUUUAAAUGAUUUUCUUAUUCACCAUAGCUCUAAAAUACCACAACCAUUCUCAAAAUGAAAUGGAGGUUGAUUAUCACUUAGGUCACUUGGACAGCAUGGAAAGCCCACUGACAAGGGGAUAAUUCAAGCUCAGAAGUCUUCACCUUUAAAGAAAAACAAUUUAGAAAAUAUAGGUUGAAGCAUGUUUUGUGCUUGUUUGGGUUUUCUCCCGUGACCUGAAUCACUGCAGUUGUGUAGACCUGGCCCCAAAGUGGUGGACACGCACUGGAAUAUGAUGAGGAGGGGGCUUCAGGGAGGAGGCAGGAGAAGCAGCCCAGGCCCAGCCCUGCUGGGGAAGGGACAGGCGACAAAAGUGACUUUGUCCUUUGGUGCCUCUUGUCUCCACUUUUCCUCAUGUUUUCCCAUGUGUGUGUAUGUGCAUGGUCUGUGUAUGUGCGUGUCUGUGUAUAUGUGUCUGUGCAGGAAAAGAGGCAGGCAUACUCUUUAGAAUGACUUCAGGUGACUGUGUUUUCUUUUCUGGCAUGGGUGGGAGGGAUGCAUAGAACAAGGGACAUCGUUAUCUCCAGUGUCCUUUAUGUGUCAUUAAUGGACUGCAGGCAUUGGUGUGGCAGAUAUAUUCCAAGGCAAGAGCCUUUUACGGGCCUUGGAAUAGCAAUAACUCAUGUUACACAGUGCUAUAUGCCUCAGUGGAUUCACAUCAUGCCCUGUGUGUGAGGACCUGCAAGGCAGGUAUUAUUUCCCCCCAUUUUACAGAUUAGGAGACCGAGCCUCAGGGAGGUUGUAAUCAGUGAUUGAACCAAACACAGGAUUUUGCUCUCUCAGUUCCUCAUUCAGCUCUCCCUAUACCACACCAUUCUCUUUAACCCCACCCCAAACUCCUUGUGCUGUUUAUGCAAGCGUCUCAUUCAAACAGAAACACAUGGGGAUUUCUGAACCCAUGGACUCUGGUUGCUCUUUAUUGUCUACAUCCAUACCUGCCAUCCAAACUGUAAAACAUGCCUUCUCUAACUCUGCAAAUAACCAUUUCCACCAAGGAAAGGGUGUGUGAUCCAAGCAAGAGGAUAUAGCUGGCUGGCUUCCUUCUGCUCUCAAGCCUCCACAUUCAGCAUCACUCUUACUCCUCAGCAACCUAACUCUCUUCUGGCCAGGGCCCCUGGGCAUUUGACUGACCAUUGGCUACCAGAGUCCUCACUGUGUUGUCAUGUCUUUCUGGCUUUUCCUGGUUUACUGUAACAUUGUACGUUCCCCUUAUUCCAUUUCUUUAGUGUCAGUGGUUCCCAUACAUUAGUAUACUUAAGAAAUUUCUGGGGAUGCUUGUUAAAAUGCAGAUUCUUGGGACUUGAGAUUAUGAAUCAGUGCUCCAAGGGCAGGGUCCAGGCAUUUGCACCUCAUCCCCUCAUUUUGAUGCAGCUGGUCUGGGGAGGACACUUUGAGAAACAAGGAUACCUUAGGCUUCAUUCUCUGCUAGGAGAGCAGAUCUGAAAAAUGUGACAAUCAGAUGUGAGUGAGUGUGAUAAUCGAUUACUGUGUUGCCUUUGAAGAGCAUGUAUGAAAGGCAAUAUGAUGUCCUGGUUAAUAGCAUGGAGGCUGGGUUCGAAUCUCUGCUCAUCAGGGUUAUCUCAUCUAAACUACUAAACCUCUUUGUGCCUAAGUUUCUUAUCUGUAAGAUGCGGUAUGAUAGUACCUAUAUCUUAGGGUUGUUGCUCUGGGCAUCAGUUAAUUUAUGCAAAACGUUUAGGGCACUGCCUGCCACAUCAGGAGCUCUGGCCCAGGUGUCUCAACCGGAAGUGGAGAGGUGUUAGUGAUGUCAGUAACAGUAUUGGGAAGAUGGAAGAGAUAUUUUGGAAAAGGAGAACCUUUUGGCAUUCCUGAAAUCGUUCCAUGUCAGUGACUGCUUAUUUUGUAUUUUGCCAUUAAGCAAGCAAGAAGGAUGAGCUCAUCUCUAGCAAGUCAAUGAGGCUUCUGGAGUUUAUUACCAUGAGGCACACAGUGACCAAAUGUACCCCAGGGAGAUGAUGCCCCAGCUGAUGAGUGCACAGAUGUGUCAGAGAAAGUUGCACCAACAUUCCAUAUAAGCCACUCUCUUUGCUUUGGAUUAAUUCCUUUUCAUCUUAUUCCUCCUUUCCUUUUGUUUGAAGGUAACCAUCGGGUUUCUCCAUCUUUUGCUCUUCUUAGGAGGGAGUAUGAGUUUUCCUGGGGUUUUUAUUACACUUUGAAAAAUUAAGCUAAAUCUUUCUACACUGAUAAAAACAUACCCGUUUCUAGUUUCCAUCCUGUUAUGCAUUGAAUUGUGCCCCCUUCAACAAGCUCUGUUGAAGUUCUAAUCCCCAGACACUCAGAAUGUGACUUUAUUUGGAUAUAGGGUCAUUGCAGAUGUAGUUAGUGAAGAUGAGGUCAUACUGGAGUAGGGUGGAACCCUCAUCAAAUAUGACUGGUGUCCUUAUAUGAAGAUGGUCAUAUGAAAACACUCAGGCAGAAGGCCAUUAAUGAUGGAGGCAGAGUGGAGUUAUGUAGCUGCAAUCCACAGAAUGCCAAACAUUGCCAGCAAACCACCAGAAACUAGGAGAGACAAGGAAGGCCUUCCCUAUAGGCUUCAGAAAAAGCAUAGCCUUGCUGACACCUUGAUUUUGGACCUCUAGCUUCCAGAAUCAUGAAAUUUGUCCCCAAGAAAUUUCUGUAGCUUUAGGCCAUCCAGCUUGUGAUACUUUUUUAGGGAAGCCCUAGAAAAUGCACACACAUUCCCUCACCAAAAUGAACCUCAGGGAUAGGAUUUGGGAUUUCUGGAACAUUUUCAUACCUCUUUAUGCAGCCUGCAGACUUUUUUUUUUUUUUUUUGUGACAGAGUCUCAUUCUUGUUGCCCAGUCUGAAGUGCAAUGGUGCGAUCUUUGCUCACUGCAACCUCUGCCUCCCAGGUUCAAGCGAUUCUCCUGCCUCAGCCUCCCAAGUAGCUGGGAUUACAGGCAUCCGCCACCACACCUGACUAAUUUUUUUUUUUUUUAUUUUUAGUAGAGGCAGGAUUUCACCAUGUUGGCGAGGCUGGUCUCGAACUCCUGACCUCAGGUGAUCCACCCGCCUCAGGCUCCCAAAUUGCUGGGAUUACAGGCAUGAGCCACCACGCCUGGCCUGCAUAUUCUUUUUUAUGGGGUUCCCACAUCGGAAUCUAAAACCGCACUGCAGACCAGCUGGCUGUGAGCCGUCUGAGGGAACCCGGAGCCAUCUCUCGCGUCCACAUGGCCUCACGUGUUCAUUAUCACAAAAAACAUCUAGUGGCAGCUGGCUCAGUACAAAGCAGGCUGUACAUAUCUUGAUUCUUUUUUGUCCUCUGGUGUCAAUUUGGUAGCACAUGUUGAUGUUGAGUGUUACCAAACAAGUGACACUGAACAGUGAACAGUAUAAAAAUAGGCCACAGAAGGGCCAGCGAUAGCAUGGAUACUGGGUGAUUAGUUAGCGAACUUGAACAGAGAGGAGGGAUAACUCGGGGCACUCAUGUUUGCCAUCUUUGAGGAGAAAUAACUACAACCCCUCCAAGUGUUGAAAGUUCCGUCCCAGAUAGAAAAAUCCUACCUUGUUUAAUGUAUGAAAAUCUUAUUUUAUCCAAACAUGCAAUUACAGGGAUUCAUCCAGAGGCCUGGAUUCUUCGCUAAAUUCUGUGUUUACACUUGGGAGUUUGUUAUUCUUCAACCUUCUGGGCAUGUCAUGGGACAAAUCUGAAUGAUUGCCACACUAAAGAAAAUAAAAGCUCUUUCUUUUCUAUCAAAGACACAAGAAACGGAAAUGUCUUCAUCAUUUUCAGUCUACCCAUUGGUCUGCAUGCACAUUUGUUUGAACUACAGCUUUUUAAACAUCAUUAGCGUCUUUUCAGUUUCUACAAUACACUUCCUCACGGUAGAGGUUGUUUCCUACUAUUCAGCUAAGUUAAACUAGGGUUACUAAUAGCUUUCGUCUUACCUCAUUGCUGGAAUAUUUUUUCCUCCAGUGCUUCUAGUCUGUUUACUAAACACACAGAAAAUGAAUGAAAUAAAUCUCUGCAGGUUUGAACAUUGCUUGGCAAGUGAGGAAAAAGAUACACACUAGGGUUCUUGCAAAAUCUAGGCAAGGAUAAUUACAGCCCAUUAUACAGAAUUGUUUGAUACACUGUAUAAUGUGGCUGUCAAGACGCAGUCCCCAACCUCUACAACAGGGUUUUUCUACCUGGACACCAUUAACAUUUUAGGUCUAAUGAUUCUUCAUUACUGGAGUGUGGGUGGGGGUACUGUCCUGUGCACUGUAGGAUGAUUAUAAGCAUCCCCGCUUCUCUACCCAAGUUGAGCCAGAAGCAUCCCCCAAAUCGUGACAACUAAAACUAUCUCCAGACAAUGCCAAAUAUCCCCUGGAAGGGAAGAAAAACUUUCCCUUGACUGAGAACUAC
This 14490-nucleotide long non-coding RNA is filed under the name Homo sapiens (human). RNAcentral's name for it is "non-protein coding lnc-TFEC-5:2". Lineage: Eukaryota; Metazoa; Chordata; Mammalia; Primates; Hominidae. The record is from RNAcentral.